RNAcentral lists this unclassified non-coding RNA (348 nucleotides) under soil metagenome. RNAcentral describes it as "partial contains 5.8S ribosomal RNA, internal transcribed spacer 2, and large subunit ribosomal RNA". The stretch from base 1 to 120 matches the Rfam family "5.8S ribosomal RNA", at positions 35 to 154 of the family's 154-position model. The record is from RNAcentral.
GAUGAAGAACGUAGCAAAAUGCGAUAAGUAAUGUGAAUUGCAGAAUUCAGUGAAUCAUCGAAUCUUUGAACGCACAUUGCGCCCGCUGGUAUUCCGGCGGGCAUGCCUGUUCGAGCGUCAUUUCAACCCUCAAGCCCCCGGGUUUGGUUUUGGGGAUCGGCUCUGCCCUUCUGGGCGGUGCCGCCCCCGAAAUACAUUGGCGGUCUCGCUGCAGCCUCCAUUGCGUAGUAGCUAACACCUCGCAACUGGAACGCGGCGCGGCCAUGCCGUAAAACCCCAACUUCUGAAUGUUGACCUCGGAUCAGGUAGGAAUACCCGCUGAACUUAAGCAUAUCAAUAAGCGGAGGA